This 468-nucleotide ribosomal RNA is filed under the name uncultured bacterium. Its description in RNAcentral is "partial 16S ribosomal RNA". It matches the Rfam family "Bacterial small subunit ribosomal RNA", at positions 28 to 507 of the family's 1533-position model. The record is from RNAcentral.
GACGAACGCUGGCGGCGUGCUUAACACAUGCAAGCCGAACGGAAAGGCCCUGCUUUUGUGGGGUGCUCGAGUGGCGAACGGGUGAGUAACACGUGAGUAACCUGCCCUUGACUUUGGGAUAACUUCAGGAAACUGGGGCUACUACCGGAUAGGAGCUCCUGCUGCAUGGUGGGUGUUGGAAAGUUUCGGCGGGUGGGGAUGGACUCGCGGCUUAUCAGCUUGUUGGUGGGGUAGUGGCUUACCAAGGCUUUGACGGGUAGCCGGCCUGAGAGGGUGACCGGCCACAUUGGGACUGAGAUACGGCCCAGACGGCUACGGGAGGCAGCAGGGGGGAAUAUUGCACAAUGGGAGGAAGCCUGAUGCAGCAACGCCGCGUGCGGGAUGACGGCCUUCGGGUUGUAAACCGCUUUCGCCUGUGACGAAGCGUGAGUGACGGUAAUGGGUAAAGAAGCACCGGCUAACUACGUG